Molecule: ribosomal RNA, 346 nt
Filed under: uncultured bacterium
Lineage: Bacteria
Description: bacterial SSU rRNA
Rfam family: Bacterial small subunit ribosomal RNA
Source: RNAcentral
AGAGUUCGAUUCUGGCUCAGGAUGAACGCUGGCGGCGUGCUUAACACAUGCAAGUCGAACGAAGCAUUUAGAACAGAUUAUUUCGGUAUGAAGUUCUUUAUGACUGAGCGGCGGACGGGUGAGUAACGCGUGGGUGACCUGCCCCAUACCGGGGGAUAACAGCUGGAAACGGCUGCUAAUACCGCAUAAGCGCACAGAGCUGCAUGGCUCGGUGUGAAAAACUCCGGUGGUAUGGGAUGGGCCCGCGUCUGAUUAGGCAGUUGGCGGGGUAACGGCCCACCAAACCGACGAUCAGUAGCCGGCCUGAGAGGGCGACCGGCCACAUUGGGACUGAGACACGGCCCAA